Long non-coding RNA from Hippoglossus stenolepis (Pacific halibut), 637 nucleotides. RefSeq lists it as uncharacterized. The record is from RefSeq and is a predicted model, not a curated record. NCBI's taxonomy places the organism in Eukaryota, Metazoa, Chordata, Actinopteri, Pleuronectiformes, Pleuronectidae. The transcript has 7 exons.
UCCUCUGCUGAGCCCGCGCUCUGUGCACUGACGGGUUUGACCUGUGAGGCGCUGAUGCUAGCACAGUUAGCCUGGUUAGCCGCAGCAGGCCUCGGCCACGUGUUGCUUAGCGCGGGUUGAGCUCAGCUCGGCUCGGCCUCGUCUCAUCGCAGUGUGAUGAAACAAAUGUUGGUAGGGACAUCUGACUACUGUGAGGAAACGCCAACUUUCUGACCGCGUGGGACACUGAGACACCAAGAGGCCGUUUUCACUGCAGAGCUCCUGCGCUGCCAGACUUUAGGGUGUGGACAUGUUUUCAGUCAGAAGAUGGCUGCAUCUAUUUCAAUCAGUUUCGUGCUUAAUCUGUUUUCCCAUCUUUUUGCAGACUCGUCAGCGACAUCGACUCGAAAUGAAGGUGAACAGCACGUGGCUCAAACGGGUGUUUCCAGGCGUUGGAUCAAAUGCAUCCCUGGUUGGAGUAUGAUGCAGAGGUGUGAAGAAGCUGGGGAUGAUGAGGUGUGAUCACACUGACUGAAUUCACUCUUCGUUCACGACAUUCAAUAAGAUGGUCUCGUGUUUGUGCAUCUGGUCUGAACGCUCUAGUAUGAGCUACUGAAACCUCUCUGGCUACAGAAUGCUAUGACAUGUGACUUCUCCC